CUGGUACUCCCUCCGUCCGAAAAUACUUGUUGCAUAAAUGGAUGAAAAUGGAUGUAUCUAGAAUUAAAAUACAUCUAGAUACAUUCAUUUCAAGGACAAGUAUUUGCGGACGGAGGGAGUAGAAG
Molecule: non-coding RNA, 125 nt
Organism: Triticum aestivum (bread wheat)
Lineage: Eukaryota; Viridiplantae; Streptophyta; Magnoliopsida; Poales; Poaceae
Source: Rfam